This 495-nucleotide ribosomal RNA is filed under the name uncultured bacterium. RNAcentral describes it as "partial 16S ribosomal RNA". It matches the Rfam family "Bacterial small subunit ribosomal RNA", at positions 28 to 507 of the family's 1533-position model. The record is from RNAcentral.
GACGAACGCUGGCGGCGUGCCUAAUACAUGCAAGUAGAACGCUGAAGGAGGAGCUUGCUCUUCUGGAUGAGUUGCGAACGGGUGAGUAACGCGUAGGUAACCUGCCUGGUAGCGGGGGAUAACUAUUGGAAACGAUAGCUAAUACCGCAUAACAGUAGAUGUUGCAUGACAUUUACUUAAAAGGUGCAAUUGCAUCACUACCGGAUGGACCUGCGUUGUAUUAGCUAGUUGGUGGGGUAACGGCUCACCAAGGCGACGAUACAUAGCCGACCUGAGAGGGUGAUCGGCCACACUGGGACUGAGACACGGCCCAGACUCCUACGGGAGGCAGCAGUAGGGAAUCUUCGGCAAUGGACGGAAGUCUGACCGAGCAACGCCGCGUGAGUGAAGAAGGUUUUCGGAUCGUAAAGCUCUGUUGUAAGAGAAGAACGAGUGUGAGAGUGGAAAGUUCACACUGUGACGGUAUCUGACCAGAAAGGGACGGCUAACUACGUG